This 225-nucleotide long non-coding RNA is filed under the name Olea europaea (common olive). RNAcentral describes it as "long non-coding RNA (OEUR_LNC005734)". Lineage: Eukaryota; Viridiplantae; Streptophyta; Magnoliopsida; Lamiales; Oleaceae. The record is from RNAcentral.
CACCCCUAUAGUGCACCUUUUUAACCACCCCAUUAACUUUUCCAUUUCCUCCCUUGAUCCCAUUAACCUUAUCCCAGGCAGCCAUCAAAUUCGAAUGUUUUACAAAUAUGGUUCUCCCGAGUUGUGAGUGAGUGAGUGAGUGAAAAGUGAGUUGUGAGAACGAGUUUAUGGAUGAAGAGCAAAAGGGAAAAGCCCGUUUAUAUAUAGGAAAGAGAAGAUAGAGAA